This 252-nucleotide ribosomal RNA is filed under the name uncultured bacterium. Its description in RNAcentral is "partial 16S ribosomal RNA". It matches the Rfam family "Bacterial small subunit ribosomal RNA", at positions 524 to 776 of the family's 1533-position model. The record is from RNAcentral.
UACGUAGGGGGCAAGCGUUGUCCGGAAUUAUUGGGCGUAAAGCGCGCGCAGGCGGCUUUGUAAGUUUGGUGUUUAAUCUCAGAGCUCAACUCUGAUUCGCAUCGAAAACUGCAAGGCUUGAGUGCAGAAGAGGAAAGUGGAAUUCCACGUGUAGCGGUGAAAUGCGUAGAGAUGUGGAGGAACACCAGUGGCGAAGGCGACUUUCUGGGCUGUAACUGACGCUGAGGCGCGAAAGCAUGGGGAGCAAACAGG